RNAcentral lists this transfer RNA (34 nucleotides) under Canis lupus (wolf). RNAcentral's name for it is "partial tRNA-Gly". The record is from RNAcentral. Lineage: Eukaryota; Metazoa; Chordata; Mammalia; Carnivora; Canidae.
AUCAGUUAGCUCCAGAUCAACCUGGAAAGAAGUA